RNAcentral lists this ribosomal RNA (253 nucleotides) under uncultured bacterium. RNAcentral describes it as "partial 16S ribosomal RNA". It matches the Rfam family "Bacterial small subunit ribosomal RNA", at positions 524 to 776 of the family's 1533-position model. The record is from RNAcentral.
UACGGAGGAUCCAAGCGUUAUCCGGAAUCAUUGGGUUUAAAGGGUCCGUAGGCGGAUAUCUAAGUCGGGGGUGAAAGCCCAGGGCUCAACCCUGGAACAGCCUUCGAUACUGGAUAUCUUGAGUUCGGAAGAGGUAAGUGGAAUGCCGAGUGUAGAGGUGAAAUUCGUAGAUAUUCGGCGGAACACCAGUGGCGAAGGCGACUUACUGGUCCGAUACUGACGCUGAGGCGCGAAAGCGUGGGGAGCAAACAGG